CAGUAGCCGCGGGAAUACGAAGGGGGCUAGCGUUGCUCGGAAUCACUGGGCGUAAAGGGUGCGUAGGCGGGUCUUUAAGUCAGGGGUGAAAUCCUGGAGCUCAACUCCAGAACUGCCUUUGAUACUGAAGAUCUUGAGUUCGGGAGAGGUGAGUGGAACUGCGAGUGUAGAGGUGAAAUUCGUAGAUAUUCGCAAGAACACCAGUGGCGAAGGCGGCUCACUGGCCCGAUACUGACGCCGAGGCACGAAAGCGUGGGGAGCAAACAGGAUUAGAUACCCGUGUAGUCCCUGUCUCUUAUAA
This 301-nucleotide ribosomal RNA is filed under the name uncultured bacterium. RNAcentral's name for it is "partial 16S ribosomal RNA". It matches the Rfam family "Bacterial small subunit ribosomal RNA", at positions 509 to 809 of the family's 1533-position model. The record is from RNAcentral.